Molecule: ribosomal RNA, 405 nt
Filed under: uncultured bacterium
Lineage: Bacteria
Description: bacterial SSU rRNA
Rfam family: Bacterial small subunit ribosomal RNA
Source: RNAcentral
UGAGGAAUAUUGCACAAUGGGCGCAAGCCUGAUGCAGCGACGCCGCGUGAGUGACGAAGGCCUUCGGGUCGUAAAGCUCUUUUCUGCGUGACGAGCAAGGACGGUAGCGCAGGAAGAAGUCUCGGCUAACUACGUGCCAGCAGCCGCGGUAAAACGUAGGAGACAAACGUUAUCCGGAGUUACUGGGCGUAAAGGGCGUGCAGGUGGCUGUUUAAGUUCGGCGUGAAAGCCUCCGGCUAAACCGGGGGAGGUCGUCGGAAACUGGACAGCUUGAGGGUGAUAGAGGCGGGUGGAAUUCCGGGUGUAGUGGUGAAAUGCGUAGAGAUCCGGAGGAACACCAGUGGCGAAGGCGACCCGCUGGGUCACACCUGACACUGAGACGCGACAGCAUGGGGAGCGAACGGG